AGAACUGAAUUGGAAAUUCAAAGGUGCUGCAAAGCUUUUUCUCCGACAAACUUCUGCCAUGAGAGCUGACAGCAUGCAAUCUUUAUCUCAGUGACAUUCUCAGAAACAAAGAUACAGUGAAUGAUAAAACAUUAGGAGGAGACAAGCGGCAGAAGUAGUUUAAAGAGGCUGCUGCACUGAGAUCACCUCAACCCUGAGAUCAGGAGCUCAGAAUAACAAAGCAUCUGAAGCAGCUCAGAUACUCCACAGUCCAACACUGCUGACACAGGAGAGGGAUGACAUGGAAACAAACGCAGACGCAGCAGACGGCCUUCAGAAGAAGUC
Long non-coding RNA from Archocentrus centrarchus (flier cichlid), 324 nucleotides. RefSeq lists it as uncharacterized. The record is from RefSeq and is a predicted model, not a curated record. NCBI's taxonomy places the organism in Eukaryota, Metazoa, Chordata, Actinopteri, Cichliformes, Cichlidae. The transcript is spliced from 4 exons.